This 253-nucleotide ribosomal RNA is filed under the name uncultured bacterium. RNAcentral's name for it is "partial 16S ribosomal RNA". It matches the Rfam family "Bacterial small subunit ribosomal RNA", at positions 524 to 776 of the family's 1533-position model. The record is from RNAcentral.
UACAGAGGGGGCAAGCGUUGUUCGGAAUUACUGGGCGUAAAGGGCGCGUAGGCGGCCGCCUAAGUCAGACGUGAAAUCCCUCGGCUCAACCGGGGAACUGCGUCUGAUACUGGGUGGCUUGAAUCCGGGAGAGGGAUGCGGAAUUCCAGGUGUAGCGGUGAAAUGCGUAGAUAUCUGGAGGAACACCGGUGGCGAAGGCGGCAUCCUGGACCGAGAUUGACGCUGAUGCGCGAAAGCCAGGGGAGCAAACGGG